This 253-nucleotide ribosomal RNA is filed under the name uncultured bacterium. Its description in RNAcentral is "partial 16S ribosomal RNA". It matches the Rfam family "Bacterial small subunit ribosomal RNA", at positions 524 to 776 of the family's 1533-position model. The record is from RNAcentral.
UACGAAGGGGGCUAGCGUUGUUCGGAUUUACUGGGCGUAAAGGGCGCGUAGGCGGAUUUUUAAGUCAGGGGUGAAAUCCCAAGGCUCAACCUUGGAACUGCCUUUGAUACUGGGGAUCUUGAGUCCGGGAGAGGUGAGUGGAACUGCGAGUGUAGAGGUGAAAUUCGUAGAUAUUCGCAAGAACACCAGUGGCGAAGGCGGCUCACUGGCCCGAUACUGACGCUGAGGCACGAAAGCGUGGGGAGCAAACAGG